This 468-nucleotide ribosomal RNA is filed under the name uncultured bacterium. RNAcentral describes it as "partial 16S ribosomal RNA". It matches the Rfam family "Bacterial small subunit ribosomal RNA", at positions 28 to 507 of the family's 1533-position model. The record is from RNAcentral.
GACGAACGCUGGCGGCGUGCUUAACACAUGCAAGUCGAACGGAAAGGCCCUGCUUUUGUGGGGUGCUCGAGUGGCGAACGGGUGGGUAACACGUGAGUAACCUGCCCUUGACUUUGGGAUAACUUCAGGAAACUGGGGCUAAUACCGGAUAGGAGCUCCUGCUGCAUGGUGGGGGUUGGAAAGUUUCGGCGGUUGGGGAUGGACUCGCGGCUUAUCAGCUUGUUGGUGUGGUAGUGGCUUACCAAGGCUUUGACGGGUAGCCGGCCUGAGAGGGUGACCGGCCACAUUGGGACUGAGAUACGGCCCAGACUCCUACGGGAGGCAGCAGUGGGGAAUAUUGCACAAUGGGCGGAAGCCUGAUGCAGCAACGCCGCGUGCGGGAUGACGGCCUUCGGGUUGUAAACCGCUUUCGCCUGUGACGAAGCGUGAGUGACGGUAAUGGGUAAAGAAGCACCGGCUAACUACGUG